GGGGUGCUGAUGAGAAGGCUGGUGUGAACAUCACCAGUUACACUUUCUAGUUCUUGUCCGUUGACCACCCAUGGAAACCAGCCAGCUGGGGACAAGGAGAAAGCUAAGAGAUACAAUGCCAUAAAGGUUGCAGAGGUCUUCAUCCUGCUGCCCUUGGUCUCCGCUGGUUGCAGCAGCAGAUGCUCUGUCUUUCUCCUUUAGCAGUUCCCCCCACUUUGUCUAUUGGGUAAAUCAAAUGCAACCACACCCAGAAC
This 254-nucleotide long non-coding RNA is filed under the name Gallus gallus (chicken). The record is from RNAcentral. Lineage: Eukaryota; Metazoa; Chordata; Aves; Galliformes; Phasianidae.